UUGCCAGACUCCUACGGGAGGCAGCAGUGGGGAAUAUUGCACAAUGGGGGAAACCCUGAUGCAGCGACGCCGCGUGAGUGAAGAAGUAUUUCGGUCUGUAAAGCUCUAUCAGCAGGGAAGAGAAUGACGGUACCUGACUAAGAAGCCCCGGCUAACUACGUGCCAGCAGCCGCGGUAAUACGUAGGGGGCAAGCGUUAUCCGGAUUUACUGGGUGUAAAGGGGGCGCAGACGGCGAUGCAAGCCAGGAGUGAAAGCCCGGGGCCCAACCCCGGGACUGCUCUUGGAACUGCGUGGCUAGAGUGCAGGAGGGGCAGGCGGAAUUCCUGGUGUAGCGGUGAAAUGCGUAGAUAUCAGGAGGAACACCGGUGGCGAAGGCGGCCUGCUGGACUGCGACUGACGUUGAGGCCCGAAAGCGUGGGGAGCAAACAGGAUUAGAUACCCGUGUA
Molecule: ribosomal RNA, 447 nt
Filed under: uncultured bacterium
Lineage: Bacteria
Description: partial 16S ribosomal RNA
Rfam family: Bacterial small subunit ribosomal RNA
Source: RNAcentral